UACGAAGGGGGCUAGCGUUGUUCGGAUUUACUGGGCGUAAAGCGCACGUAGGCGGUUUGUUAAGUCAGGGGUGAAAUCCCGGAGCUCAACUCCGGAACUGCCUUUGAUACUGGCAAGCUAGAGUCCGGAAGAGGUAAGUGGAACUCCUAGUGCAGAGGUGGAAUUCGUAGAUAUUAGGAAGAACACCGGUGGCGAAGGCGGCGCUCUGGACCGAGACUGACGCUGAGGAGGCGAAAGCGUGGGAGCAAACAGGG
This 254-nucleotide ribosomal RNA is filed under the name uncultured bacterium. RNAcentral's name for it is "partial 16S ribosomal RNA". It matches the Rfam family "Bacterial small subunit ribosomal RNA", at positions 524 to 777 of the family's 1533-position model. The record is from RNAcentral.